UUCCAGCUCCAAUAGCGUAUAUUAAAGUUGUUGCAGUUAAAAAGCUCGUAGUUGAAUUUCGGGGUUAGUAGGUUGGUCAUGCCUCUGGUAUGUACUGAUCUCACUGAUUCCUCCUUCCUUAUGAACCGUAAUGCCAUUAAUUUGGUGUUGCGGGGAAUUUGGACUGUUACUUUGAAAAAAUUAGAGUGUUUAAAGCAGGCUAACGCUUGAAUACAUUAGCAUGGAAUAAUGAAAUAGGACGUUCGAUCUUAUUUUGUUGGUUUCUAGGAUUGACGUAAUGAUUAAUAGGGAUAGUUGGGGGCAUUAGUAUUCAAUUGUCAGAGGUGAAAUUCUUGGAUUUAUUGAAGACUAACUACUGCGAAAGCAUUUGCCAAGGAUGUUUUCAUUAAUCAGGAACGAAAGUUAGGGGAUCGAAGACGAUCAGAUACCGUCGUAGUCUUAACCAUAAACUAUGCCGACUAGGGAUCGG
Molecule: ribosomal RNA, 469 nt
Filed under: uncultured Glomus
Lineage: Eukaryota; Fungi; Glomeromycota; Glomeromycetes; Glomerales; Glomeraceae
Description: SSU rRNA
Rfam family: Eukaryotic small subunit ribosomal RNA
Source: RNAcentral